Molecule: ribosomal RNA, 468 nt
Filed under: uncultured bacterium
Lineage: Bacteria
Description: partial 16S ribosomal RNA
Rfam family: Bacterial small subunit ribosomal RNA
Source: RNAcentral
GACGAACGCUGGCGGCGUGCUUAACACAUGCAAGUCGAACGGAAAGGCCCUGCUUUUGUGGGGUGCUCGAGUGGCGAACGGGUGAGUAACACGUGAGUAACCUGCCCUGGCUUUGGGGAUACCUUCAGUAACCUGGGGCAACCUCCGGAAGGGGGCCCGGCUGGCGGGUGGGGGGUGGGAACUUUUCGGGGGUUGGGGAGGGCCUCGCGGCUUAUCGGAUUGUUGGUGGGGUAGUGGCUUACCAAGGCUUUGACGGGUAGCCGGCCUGAGGGGGUGACCGGCCACAUUGGGACUGAGAUACGGCCCAGACUCCUACGGGAGGCAGCAGUGGGGAAUAUUGCACAAUGGGCGGAAGCCUGAUGCAGCAACGCCGCGUGCGGGAUGACGGCCUUCGGGUUGUAAACCGCUUUCGCCUGUGACGAAGCGUGAGUGACGUUAAUGGGUAAAGAAGCACCGGCUAACUACUUG